CGCUGCGCUUCUGGGCCCGAGCCGGGCGUGGGGCUGCCCGGGCUGGUCGACCAGCGUGCCGCAGCUCCCGAGGCCCGAGCCGCGACCCGCGG
Gorilla gorilla gorilla (western lowland gorilla) is the source of this 92-nucleotide microRNA precursor. Lineage: Eukaryota; Metazoa; Chordata; Mammalia; Primates; Hominidae. The record is from Ensembl.